UGGGCGUGUCGACGUACGCGCCGGCGUGCUUACACCACAUGAAAACAUCUAACAGCGCGUUCUCUUGGUCGUUGUAAACGUUUUAUUUUAUUGUGACGUCCUCUUAAAGACAAUUGUUGAUCUUACCAUGUAAUUAUAAAUAUUGUUUACAAAAUCAUUUACUGUAACAAGCUAUUAAUGAUUUAUAAGUAUUGUGAUGUGUGUUGAAACAAUAUAAAAAUUAUCCAUUACAAUAUUAUAAACUGACCAAUUGCAAAUUCACCACUUGUUCGAAUGCCUAAAAUAAUAACACAAUAUCCAUUUAUAUGCGUAGGCUGCUACCAACAAUUUUAUCUAGGACACAGUGAUUUUUAAUAUAGCUAGGACAUCAGUGACUAGAAUAUAUUAUCAAACAAUUUCUAUAUAUUUUAGAAAUACAACGGUAUUACAUUAUCCUGGGAAAAAACUAAAAGGUGUUAAAUUUGAACUCGGGAAUGCUAAAGACCUUCCUUGCGCUUCUUUAGUCGUUCCUAUGCUUACAGACCAUCCGUCACCGCUUUUAUGGUGUGCAAAUUCGCGACAAACAAACGUUGCGAAAGGAACAUUGCGAAACAUCCGGACAUCACCGGGUGACAGGUCGUGCGUCUGUGCCGCUGCCUUGGUAUGUUCACGCUAAUGCGUUUUUGCUUGUGACAGAUAGUGAUUGAUGCAUAUUUAAUAACGCAUUCGUCUCCCGAAUCGAAAGAAGAAAAGUUCUAACAUAAACAUUUGACGUAAUACGUUUUUCUGAGCCCGGUGGAUUUUAUGCGAUUCGUUUGCGAAUUUCCAUAAUUAUUAUUAGUCAAAAUAAUUGUGAACGUUUUUAUUAUUUUUAUUGUAAGUCUUAACGUUUAUAUUGUUUGUGUUUCUAAUACAUAAUAACGGAUAAAAAUCAAACGUUGGCAUUCAUUAAAGCACAUAACGCGGCAAAACUUUUAUGGGAUGCAAACCAAACGAAUUAUUGCAACAAAAUUUAAAUAGGUGAUAUGUACGUUGGAGCGUAUGGAUAAUGAAUAUAACAUUGAUUUUUCCGCUGUUAAAGUAAAAUUAAAAAAUGUGCAUUUGUAUUUUACAAAGAAUUGUUAGUUACUGAAAAAUUUUCAACGGUAUAAAAAAAUAUAAUUUAGUAAAAAUUGUA
Sipha flava (yellow sugarcane aphid) is the source of this 1156-nucleotide long non-coding RNA. RefSeq lists it as uncharacterized. The transcript has 3 exons. Lineage: Eukaryota; Metazoa; Arthropoda; Insecta; Hemiptera; Aphididae. The record is from RefSeq and is a predicted model, not a curated record.